UGCGCGAAAGCCAGCUGUUCUUGUGUUUCUCAGUCUAUGUUUUAACAUACCCUGAAUGAAUGUAUUAGAAUGUAUUGCUGGGCCUUUGUGCCUUUAAAUCAAAUACAACUUUCAACAACGGAUCUCUUGGCUCUCGCAUCGAUGAAGAACGCAGCGAAAUGCGAUAAGUAAUGUGAAUUGCAGAAUUCAGUGAAUCAUCGAAUCUUUGAACGCACCUUGCGCUCCUUGGUAUUCCGAGGAGCAUGCCUGUUUGAGUGUCAUUAAAUUCUCAACCAUACAAGUUUUUAUUAACCUGUAUGGCUUGGAUCAUGGGAUUUGCGGGCUUCCUGAGUCGGCUAUCCUUAAAUGCAUUAGCAGAGCUUUUGCCGCUAAUCUCUGGUGUGAUAAUUAUCUACGCCAUUGAGAAGUGACAUGUCGAGGCUUCGCUUCUAAUCGUCUUCACAGACAAUAUUUGACAAUCUGACCUCAAAUCAGGUAGGACUACCCGCUGAACUUAAGCAUAUC
RNAcentral lists this ribosomal RNA (504 nucleotides) under Clitopilus passeckerianus. Its description in RNAcentral is "eukaryotic LSU rRNA". The stretch from base 107 to 260 matches the Rfam family "5.8S ribosomal RNA". The record is from RNAcentral. Lineage: Eukaryota; Fungi; Basidiomycota; Agaricomycetes; Agaricales; Entolomataceae.